CCGGCCCAAGGGCCGACCCCCGCAAGGAGCUGAAGGCGGCGGGAGACCGAGUCGCCGCCAGCGUCGGCGCCGUCAAAGAAGAUGGCCACGGAGACAGCAGCGUGGUCAGAGUGGUAGGAGCCGGCCAUCAGCGAGAGCUGCUCCAUGCCUGGCUGCUGGGUGCUACAGCCUGUGGCCCACUGGCUUGCCUCACUGUGGUUGGUGGUGGCAGUGACAGAGACUGCAGCACGACCAAAGUGGCUUUUCUGGCUUUGCCCGCCCAGCUGCUCCAUGCCAGGAGGAGGAGGAGACACCUAGAGCCUGCGACACCACGGCUCGCCUCGCUGCGGGAGGGUGGCAUCAACGGAGACUGCAGUGCACCAGAGUGUCAGUUCUAGAGUGUAUGAAGAACCAAAUGAUGUAAUUGUAUGCGAUCUGGCUGUAGUGGAACAAAUUUGACUCUAAAGUAUGCAGGCUCUAAUUUUCCUGUCCGGUUUUGGUAAGUAUUCCUUACAUAGGUUUUUUUCUUUGAAAAUCUGGGAUUGAGAGGUUGAUGAAUGAAAAUUAAUCCUUUCACUUUGUUGUAUGUAGGUUUGCAAUAAUUAGGUCAGAGUGGAGUUUUAAGGUCAUGGAGGGGUCUGAUGACUUACAAAUAAUGGGCUCUGAUUGGGCACCUACUCAUCUGAGUUCCUUCCAUUUGACCUAAUUAAGCUUGUGAAAUUUACACCAAGCCAUGAGCUCAUCUUUAAAAAGUUUUAUUAAAAGAUUUUCAGCUGUUCCAAAUGGGACUUAUUAGUGGAAUGUGUUUUAAAGGAUCAUAUCAGAUGAAUGAAAGGUAUUUGAUCUGUUUCCUUAAUAACAAAAUGAUGGUUUGGAAAAAUAGGCUACAGUCUAACCACAGUGCUAUUAUUAGGCUUUCUUGUUAAACAUAGGUCUAAGCCUAAGUAUGUCAAUAGAACAAAUACUUACUGUUUCAUUUCUAGUAAUAAAAAAAAAAAACAAGUCUUUCUGGCAUAAGGAUGAUUUUCAUCUGGUUAUUUUGAAACAUUUUUGUAAAAUAAAUUUACAUCUAUAAAGAACAUUUUUAUUUGUAAGGAGGGGUAUGUCUCUGUGCACUGGAAGAGAGGGAGGACUAAAUCACUGGGAAGUCUUAUAAUAAAGAAGCCAUUGGCUUAAAUCAGCAAAGCAAGCCAUCCCUUGGUUUAAGGUGUUUUUCCUGGCCAUCCUGUCUUGACUAGAACUUUACCUACACCUUCCUUUUUGGUUUAGGCAAAUUAUAGUAUCUAAAACUGAAGUCUCAGCUCUGUGUCUUUGAGAUAUAAAUGUUCUACCAUGUCUUCUCUGGAACCUGAUAACUAUCUAUCUCUUUAAAAUGCAAGUCUAGGGAGAUGAUUCAUCAGAAAAAGAAGAAAAAAGAGGUAUUUGGAAAUUGUGCAAAUUAAAGCAGCCCCUGAUGCCAAAGUCUACACAUUCCUGAGUGAGUCAGUUCUGGCCAGUUCUAGCUGGAUCAAGAGAGCUCUGCUGGGCAGGCCUGAAGAACACGUGGAUGGCAGACACCUGAGGAGUCAGGUGCCUGAAACUUCCUCCACCUGCUUGAGGAGCGCCAAAGCCCAGGUGCUGGCUGGACAACCCCUUCUGGCUGCCUAAGCAGGUAGCAGAAGAAGGAAACAAGGGCAGAGGCAGAGUGUUGAACCCUGCCUCCCAGCCCCCACAUCACCCAACCAACCAGCAGAGAUCCUCCUUCCCAAGAAACAGAUAAAGAAACUGAGGCCCAGGAAGGCUAAGAGUCCUGCCAGGAUUAUUCACCUUUCAAGCAGCCAAGCAAGCACUGGCUGUGAGAGAUGGCUGUGAGAGAAGAUUAAAACAAUUACAACUCACCCAGUUCACAGACGCUGAGUAACUGAUCUCCUGCCCCACUAACCUUAACGACAGCUUUCUCUGGACAAGGGACUGAUUUCAGUAACUUUCUCCUGAUAAGAGACCAUCCUCCAUGGACUGGUUCUGGCCAGUUUUAGAGGCUGUGGCUUUACAGAGGCUGAGUACUUUCAUGUCCCUGCUUCACUUUUUGAUGUGUAGGGCCUAAUUAUAAUACAUUUAAAUGUCAAGUCUCCACCCCAGGAUGAACAUGCAUGUUUAUUGAAUAUGCAUGUGUUAGGACCUCUUUUAUGAGUAUUCUCAUAAAAUGAUAUAGCUCCUCUGAUAUCUUAUUGCGUAUGUAUAUGUAGCCAACUCAUUUGGCUCAAAUUCCUGUCCUCUCCUUCCCUCCCUGGAAAUGCCUGCCUCUGGCCUUGGCUGUAGGCCACACUUCCCAGCCUGUCAUAAUGGCCACCUUGCAGACUG
This is an RNA transcript of Homo sapiens (human), 2319 nucleotides long. RefSeq lists it as uncharacterized. The transcript is spliced from 6 exons. NCBI's taxonomy places the organism in Eukaryota, Metazoa, Chordata, Mammalia, Primates, Hominidae. The record is from RefSeq and is a predicted model, not a curated record.